This 30-nucleotide non-coding RNA is filed under the name Cricetulus griseus (Chinese hamster). Lineage: Eukaryota; Metazoa; Chordata; Mammalia; Rodentia; Cricetidae. The record is from RNAcentral.
CGAUUCCCGGCCAAUGCAAAGAGAACUUUU